UUCAGCGGUCUGAGAAUGUGAGGAGAAAGCCCUCCUGAAGUCAUUCAGCCCCAGUGAGCGGUUAAAUGUAAAGACAUCGAAGGAUCUGGAUAUGACAGCAGACACAUCAUUGGAACGGCCGCCGUUGAGGUCCCCCCAGAGACGUGAAGUGACACAGCAGGUGAUCCGGACCCCCACACUGGGAAGCUUUGAGAAGCCAGAAGGCAUCUGACAAGCUGACCCUGAUGUCCCGAUUCCAGAGGGAAGGGAUGUGAUUGCCUUGCCAACCACUUGCACAUCUGUUUGGGCAGAGCCCGUCCUGCCAGGCCCGUCCUAUCGGAAGGCAGACUGGAGACGGACCACCUGGAGCAGGGGACCGCGGCCAGCCAGGCCAGGCUGGGGCGGAGCUACCGAUGCAGAACAUGCCGUUCUGGCGACUUAGCUUCCGAGGAGUAAGAUUCUUGUGCCUGAAGCAUCUACAGGGGAAACUCUCUUUUGCUAACAGUGAACACCUUUGAGGCAUGAUUACGCUGCAGAAACCUCUUCUCACCUGCACACAUCUCACCC
This is a long non-coding RNA of Mustela erminea (ermine), 546 nucleotides long. RefSeq lists it as uncharacterized. The transcript has 3 exons. Lineage: Eukaryota; Metazoa; Chordata; Mammalia; Carnivora; Mustelidae. The record is from RefSeq and is a predicted model, not a curated record.